AGUGAACGCUGGCGGUAGGCCUAACACAUGCAAGUCGAACGGCAGCACAGUAAGAGCUUGCUCUUACGGGUGGCGAGUGGCGGACGGAUGAGGAAUACAUCGGAAUCUACUUUUUCGUGGGGGAUAACGUAGGGAAACUUACGCUAAUACCGCAUACGACCUACGGGUGAAAGCAGGGGAUCUUCGGACCUUGCGCGAUUGAAUGAGCCGAUGUCGGAUUAGCGAGUUGGCGGGGUAAAGGCCCACCAAGGCGGCGAUCCGUAGCUGGUCUGAGAGGAUGAUCAGCCACACUGGAACUGAGACACGGUCCAGACUCCUACGUGAGGCAGCAGUGGGGAAGAUUGGACAAUGGGCGCAAGCCUGCUCCAGCCAUACCGCGUUGGUGAAGAAGGCCUUCGGGUUGUAAAGCCCUUUUGUUGGGAAAGAAAAGCAGCAGGUUAAUACCCCGCUGUUCUGACGGUACCCAAAGAAUAAGCACCGGCUAACUUCGUG
This 492-nucleotide ribosomal RNA is filed under the name uncultured bacterium. RNAcentral describes it as "partial 16S ribosomal RNA". It matches the Rfam family "Bacterial small subunit ribosomal RNA", at positions 29 to 507 of the family's 1533-position model. The record is from RNAcentral.